Molecule: ribosomal RNA, 323 nt
Filed under: uncultured eukaryote
Lineage: Eukaryota
Description: partial 18S ribosomal RNA
Rfam family: Eukaryotic small subunit ribosomal RNA
Source: RNAcentral
CCCUUAGAUGUCCUGGGCCGCACGCGUGCUACACUGAUGCAUACAGCGAGUACUUUCCAGCUCCGCGAGGCAGCUGGUAAUCAGCAAUAUGCAUCGUGCUGGGGAUAGAUCUUUGGAAUUAUAGAUCUUGAACGAGGAAUUCCUAGUAAGCGCAAGUCAUUAGCUUGCGCUGAUUAAGUCCCUGCCCUUUGUACACACCGCCCGUCGCUCCUACCGAUCGAAGAGUUAGGUGAAUUGUUUUGAUCGAUAAGAUUUGACUAUGGUCAACUCUCGUUGUGAAAUUCUGUGAAUCUGACUGUUUAGAGGAAGGAAAAGUCGUAACA